UUUCACUCAGUCUAUUAAAUCUAAUAAGGGAGGGUGAUUUCUCUAAAAAAUGGGCAGGUGGUGACCUUUAAGAAAGUUUAGACAUGUUUCACUAGUUUCAGUGAAACAGAAAUAUUAUAACACAAUAAAUCUCUUUUGCCCUUUUCAAAAUUCCUUGUUUCUUGCAUAUUAUUAAAAAACGCCAGGGCUUUAAACCAAGGGUGCUGGCGAGCUUCGUGCUUUGGGGAUUCACGUAUUUGCCCCGUACCUGGGAGGGGGGCUGUGAGUGGGGCACUCAGGUGUGCAGAACAUUGACCUAAAAAUGGAGCUUCUUACAACCAGCGGAAGGGGAGACACACACAAAAAUUUAGCGCAUUUUCUUAAGUGUUUAAGUAGAAACUGUCACUCUAAGAAGUUGGCCUGGGGCGGAGCGCUUGGGUCCGGCUCCUGGGCUGCCUGGAUGGCACAGGGCGCGCUGGACCGUCGGUCUCCCCUCCCACGGCCGCCCUGUCCUGCGGGACACCCACCUCCAGCGGCACCGGCCCCCCCCAUCCAAGAAUCUGAGCUGCCUGUGGCGGCCGCACGGAGGGGCCGUGUCCUGCGUAACCGCUCUCUCCUGUCUUCCCCCGUCCUACUUUUCUUUUCUUGGGUCACACAGAACAUCAAAUCGGAAGACCGUCGUGUAGG
Molecule: non-coding RNA, 666 nt
Organism: Vicugna pacos (alpaca)
Lineage: Eukaryota; Metazoa; Chordata; Mammalia; Artiodactyla; Camelidae
Source: RefSeq, a predicted model, not a curated record